This 512-nucleotide ribosomal RNA is filed under the name uncultured bacterium. RNAcentral's name for it is "partial 16S ribosomal RNA". It matches the Rfam family "Bacterial small subunit ribosomal RNA", at positions 28 to 523 of the family's 1533-position model. The record is from RNAcentral.
GACGAACGCUGGUGGCGUGCCUAAUACAUGCAAGUCGAGCGGACCAAUAGAAGCUUGCUUCUGUUGGUUAGCGGCGGACGGGUGAGUAACACGUGGGCAACCUGCCUGUAAGACUGGGAUAACUUCGGGAAACCGGAGCUAAUACCGGAUAAUUCAUCCCCUCGCAUGAGGGGAUGCUGAAAGUCGGUUUACGCUGACACUUACAGAUGGGCCCGCGGCGCAUUAGCUAGUUGGUGAGGUAAUGGCUCACCAAGGGGACGAUGCGUAGCCGACCUGAGGCGGUGAUCGGCCACACUGGGACUGAGACACGGCCCAGACUCCUACGGGAGGCAGCAGUAGGGAAUCUUCCACAAUGGACGAAAGUCUGAUGGAGCAACGCCGCGUGAGCGAUGAAGGCCUUCGGGUCGUAAAGCUCUGUUGUUAGGGAAGAACAAGUAUCGGAGUAACUGCCGGUACCUUGACGGUACCUAACCAGAAAGCCACGGCUAACUACGUGCCAGCAGCCGCGGUAA